AGAGUUUGAUCAUGGCUCAGAUUGAACGCUGGCGGCAGGCCUAACACAUGCAAGUCGAACGGUAACAGGAAGUGCUUGCACUUCGCUGACGAGUGGCGGACGGGUGAGUAAUGCUUGGGAACUUGCCUUUGCGAGGGGGAUAACAGUUGGAAACGACUGCUAAUACCGCAUAAUGUCUACGGACCAAACGGGGCUUAGGCUCCGGCGCAAAGAGAGGCCCAAGUGAGAUUAGCUAGUUGGUAAGGUAAAGGCUUACCAAGGCAACAAUCUCUAGCUGUUCUGAGAAGAAGAUCAGCCACACUGGAACUGAGACACGGUCCAGACUCCUACGGGAGGCAGCAGUGGGG
RNAcentral lists this ribosomal RNA (347 nucleotides) under uncultured gamma proteobacterium DCM-ATT-19. RNAcentral's name for it is "bacterial SSU rRNA". It matches the Rfam family "Bacterial small subunit ribosomal RNA", at positions 8 to 359 of the family's 1533-position model. The record is from RNAcentral. Lineage: Bacteria; Pseudomonadati; Pseudomonadota; Gammaproteobacteria.